This 1318-nucleotide long non-coding RNA is filed under the name Otus sunia (Oriental scops-owl). RNAcentral's name for it is "lncRNA (ENSOSUG00000010318.1)". Lineage: Eukaryota; Metazoa; Chordata; Aves; Strigiformes; Strigidae. The record is from RNAcentral.
UGGGUUCCGCGGCGAGCCCGGCCCGGGAGGGUCCCCAAGGCUGCGGGGCGGCUGAGCCCCCUCCCCGCGGCCUCCCCUCCGCCCCCAGAGCCGGGGGCUGCGGGCCCGGAGCCUCGCCGAGCCCGGGAUCCCCCACCCCGGCGGCGAGGCCGGGAUCCCCCGGCCCGGGGCGGCCAUGACACCCCCUCAGCCCUGCCCCAAGCUCCACAGCGCUGGCGGGUGCCAAACACGGGGUUUAUUUACAGACAGGCGUUACACAGCGCUUUCCAGCGACGAUUGUCAGACACCGGCGGUUGCCCUCGCCAGCCCGCAGGCAGGUGGAUGCCCUGCUCCCGCCCGUGCUCCCCCGCAGGCCGCGGCAGCCUCUCCUCAGCUUCAUUUCGGUGGGUGUUCAGCAACCACAACCCUCACCGGGGCCCUCCGGGCUGGGCCCAGGGUGUCUGCCAGCCCCGGGCAGCAAAAUAGUGUGAAUCCAGGUGAAAUCCUGGCAUCGCCCUCCUUUUCCUGCGGCGUGUUGGUGGCCAAAGAUGGAAAUCCGGCCUCUCUUCCUUCCAGUUGAGGGUGCAAAUAUGGAGGGCGAUGAGCACAAGGCCUGUGGGCGGUGAUCAACACCUCUUGGGACACUGGACUAACGAUACGCCUCGCGGCCAGGGAUACAUCCCCACCUCCCCGCUGCAGCAAACCCCCACCCAGAGCCCAGACUGGGGUGCUCGGGUCCGGGCAGCCUUGCCAAAAAGAGGGGAGAGAAAAAGCAGCGAGCCAGGAGCCUGCCUGCAAGCAGCGGGCAAAACGCUGGCAGGGGAGAAGGGGAAAGUUCUCCGGAGGGGUGAUCCUGUAUCUGUUCUCUUCUAGCUAAGCGCUGAGGCUGAAGGCACGGGUCUCUCUCCCCUCCCCACGCUGCAGGAGAUGCCUGAUGCGCCCCAGACUUCCACCGAGGGGGGAAAUAAAUCCCUCUGAAAACCCCCCAGCCCUUGGAGAAAAGGGGUCCCAAAACCCCUGGGGACAGACCCUUGGAGAAAAAAAGGGGCUGCAGCCUCCCCGCGGCGGCGCCGGCCGGUCCCGCGUCGGGCUGUGCGGCAGUGUUGGAAUUCAGAAUUUGCCUGGCACACCCCGUAUCGCAGCCCUGCAAAGAAAACCAACCUCUGUUUACAAACCUGCUCCCUGCCUGCGCCCCGUGUCCUCGCCCCCAAAAUUGCUGCCUGGCCCACGGGCUUUCUGCUCUUCUGGUGGGGAAAACCAAACCCCAAGAGCUGCCUCGCAGCAGCCAACAGGCUUUGAAAACGUAGUGGGGGCACGUGGGAAAAUCAUAUUGGGGUGA